CCUACGGGUGGCAGCAGUGGGGAAUAUUGCACAAUGAGGGAAACCCUGAUGCAGCGACGCCGCGUGCGUGAAGAAGUAAUUCGUUAUGUAAAGCUCUAUCAGCAGGGAAGAAAAUGACGGUACCUGAGUAAUAAGCCCCUGCUAACUACGUGCCAGCAGCCGCGGUAAUACGUUGGGGGCAAGCGUUCUCCGGAUUUACUGGGUGUAACGGGAGCGUAGACGGCAGUGCAAGUCUGGAGGGAAAGGCGCGGGGUCAACCCCCGGAUUGCUCUGGAUACUUUAUGGCUGGAGUGAAGGAGAGGUAAGUGGAAUUCCAAGUGUAGCGGUGAAAUGCGUAGAUAUUAGGAGGAACACCAGAGGCGAAGGCGGCUUACUGGACUGUAACUGACGUUGAGGCUCGAAAGCGUGGGGAGCAAACAGGAUUAGAUACCCGAGUAGUC
RNAcentral lists this ribosomal RNA (440 nucleotides) under uncultured bacterium. Its description in RNAcentral is "partial 16S ribosomal RNA". It matches the Rfam family "Bacterial small subunit ribosomal RNA", at positions 338 to 795 of the family's 1533-position model. The record is from RNAcentral.